RNAcentral lists this unclassified non-coding RNA (2850 nucleotides) under Leishmania donovani. RNAcentral describes it as "gene:LdHU3.31.0040(CDS-product:Aquaglyceroporin_1 )". The record is from RNAcentral. Lineage: Eukaryota; Euglenozoa; Kinetoplastea; Trypanosomatida; Trypanosomatidae.
GCCUCUCUCUACUCUUCUUCGCGGACUUCAUCAACAGCACGCGCACUUCCCCACUUAACACUAAAUUCGCGACACACACCCCUUUUUCAGUACAUCCCGAUGAACUCUCCUACAAGCACACCUCCCGCGUGCUACGAUGCCGAGGUUCAGCUGUACAUGGACAAGGAGGACCCGGAAGGGGUCCCCAUUCAAAACCAAAUGCACGAGGAAGAGCAGGGACAGCUCGAGGGUAAAAGGAACUUCACGUCGCAGAACAGGUGGCCCCUGUACAAAUACCGAUGGUGGCUACGCGAGUAUGUUGCCGAGUUCUUCGGCACGUUUUUCCUCGUCACCUUUGGAACCGGCGUCAUUGCUACCACUGUCUUUCACGCCGGUAACGCUGCAAGCUACCAGUCCAACUCCAGCUACAUGGCCAUCACCUUUGGCUGGGGGUUUGGGCUCACUAUCGGCCUUUUCCUGAGCAUGGCGGUGUCGGGUGGUCACCUGAACCCAGCUGUGACGCUGGCGAACUGUGUCUUUGGUGCCUUUCCCUGGAUUAAGCUACCCGGCUAUUUUCUCGCCCAAUUUCUCGGAGGCUUGGUUGGUGCCGCCAACACCUACGGGCUCUUCAAAUCGCACUUUGACGACGCCCAAAAGGCCUUGCUUCCGAACGAGACGAUGGCGUCCAAGUACAGCGGAAUCUUCGCCACAUACCCUAAUGUUGCAAACACCUACGCAGUGUGGAGUGAGGUGUUCAAUACCAUGGCGCUCAUGAUGGGCAUUCUCGCCAUCACGGAUCCUCGCAUGACUCCCGCCGUCAACUACAAGCCGGUGGCUAUUGGACUACUGUUGUUUGUCAUUGGCAUCACAUCAGGCAUCAACUCUUCCUAUGGCCUCAACCCCGCACGCGACUUGUCACCUCGCAUACUCUCGGCCAUGCUCUGGGGCUCAGAGCCUUUCACGUUGUACAGCUACUACUUUUGGAUACCUCUAGUCGCGCCGUUUGUUGGCGCCCUUCUCGGCAUGUUCUUGUAUGUCUUUUUCAUCAUUCCACCCAACUUCUAGACGUGCUUCGCUACCCCUGCUCUCUAUGCUGGGUGUACAAACACCACAGCUCGUGCUGACUGACCAUUUACUCUUUCCGAUUUAUUAUUAUUAUUAUUUUUCUCUGCUUUCCCUCUGCCUUUAUGACGCGAGCCACCUCACCGUUGUAUCAGGGUUCCGUGCCCACUCUGCGGGAACGUCGAAAGCCUGCACCCUGCCAUCGCCUCGGCGGACAGGCUUGGGCUGACACUGUACCGGAGACACUCGCGGCUACGAUGCUGUUUCUAUCAUCUCGCUGCCAGUCGUUUCGACGACUCAGCAAGCAUGCGCUUCCAAUCAUUGCCCUUCUGCUUUUGCGGCGCUUCGGUAAUACCGAGCGUGAUUCUGGACCUGGCCUGCGCUGUAUGCAGCGGAAUCACGGUUUGCUGCACCACACGAAAGGGUGCUAGUCAUCCCGUCUCGAUACUGCCGUCGUGCAGCAGCCGUAGGUGACCUGCUAUUUUAAGGGUCAGUUUGUUGACUUUCUUGCGAGAGAUGAACACGCGUUGCCAAAUAAAAAAAGAGCAUGCUCUCUCUCUCUCUCUCUGCUGUGGUCCAUUUGCGUUUAUGCUGCUUUCUUUACCAUUUUCUUCUCAGCCUGCUGGUGCUCUAUUUUUGUGCAGAAGGGUGAACUUUUCGCCCGUAAGGGAGCGACAUGGUAGCCAACGACAACUUUCUACAGCCUGUGUGAUGUCUGCUCUGCUUCGUGCUGCUGCACUCUCAAGGAUACGGAGGCUAUUCGGCCUAUCUACACAUUUGCUUUGGCGUCGGGUGCACAGUGAAGUUUGUGUGCGUGUGUGUGUGCUGUCAGCAAUCAAUACGCAUACCUUUCAAAAAAGGUGUGCUGGCCUCGUCCACAGCACCGUUUUCCUCCUACGUGGCGUAUUCUCCGAGGAUUCAAUGCGUUGGCUUUUGCCUGUGUCCGCGAAAGUAUAUAUUGGCUGUAGUGCAUGUCUUUGGUGCGACUACCGCCGUAUACUGCUAUGCUUUGACAUUUUGAGGAGCUCCCUCGAGGAAAAAGAAGCGAAAAACAAAACGCCGUUAAGAACUCCCGUGACCGUUUGAGCAGACUCGGCAGUGAAAACGACGAGUCUGGCAAAUGGGCUUUCCUUUUUUUUUUUCAUGCUCACCUGUAUGAUUUUCCUCCGUGCUUAUCUUUUGAAUUUUCUCUCUUCAGCUCUCUUUUUGCUCUUGCUGCUGAUAGCGAUGGACGAAAAGUUGUUGCUGCAAAAUCUUUCCUUUCUGCGUUGCUUCAAGAUGAUCACAUAUAUGACUCAUUUUUGUUUCACAUCUCUUCUUUCCACCUUUUCUCCUUGCUACCCUUUCUUUCUCUUUACUGAAAGCGAACCUUUUUUUCUACCUCUUAGCAUUUCUUCGGUUGAAUGCCCGAGUUCACGAAAAGCUGUGAAGGUGAACCGUGUUAUCAGCAGCGUAUUCUUCCCACUACCUCUAUCACUUUCUUCUAACACUUCCGCACACACACACACACAUAAACACACAAUUUCGGUGUGCGAAUGCAAACCUGAGCGAGUGCAAAGCGUGAUUCCCAUAACUAUGAGCGUCACUGCGCAUUUACAUUUUAUUGUUUGCUUUUCCUUUUUUUUAACUCUGCGGCAUGUCAUGCGAAAAGAUGAGUGCACAUGGCGUGCUUCCUGCGUGAGGCUUGGCUUGCCUUGCACGCGCAAGGUGACCCAGCGUCGCGGUAGGAAAUGGAUGCUGAUGUCGUCUGAAAAAGAAGCAGGCGAAGUGCUAUAGGGUUUCGUCGCUAAAAGCCUUCCGGUGGCAAAC